AUUGAAUACAAUUUAGACAUAAAUACAAUUUGAUAAUUGAAACUUCAGAAAAACUAAUGUAUGUCAGUUAACUUUCAGUGUGGAAGUGUUGGGUAAUAAAGUUUAAAGGAGAUGAAAUAUUAAAGAUUUGGUUUCAUAAUAUUAAUAAGUAUUUUGUGACGUGUCAAAAAAACAGCGAAAGAUAAAGUGAAGGCUCUGAAAUAGUAGCGGCUCGGAUAAUGACGUUUACAAUGAAAUUGCAACGGAAUCAGCAUGCCAAGAAAAAGAGGAAGAGGACAAUAAUCAAUCAUCUGUUUUUAACACAAUUGAUCCCGAAUUCAAUAUUUUCAUGAUUUUUUAA
Long non-coding RNA from Rhopalosiphum maidis (corn leaf aphid), 340 nucleotides. RefSeq lists it as uncharacterized. The record is from RefSeq and is a predicted model, not a curated record. NCBI's taxonomy places the organism in Eukaryota, Metazoa, Arthropoda, Insecta, Hemiptera, Aphididae. The transcript is spliced from 3 exons.